Molecule: unclassified non-coding RNA, 263 nt
Filed under: plant metagenome
Description: partial contains small subunit ribosomal RNA, internal transcribed spacer 1, and 5.8S ribosomal RNA
Source: RNAcentral
UUUCCGUAGGUGAACCUGCGGAAGGAUCAUUAUCGAGUUUUGACUGGGUUGUAGCUGGCCUUCCGAGGCGUGUGCACGCCCUGCUCAUCCACUCUACACCUGUACACUUACUGUGGGUAUCAGAUCGUGAAGCGUGCUCUUUUACCGGAGCUUGUGAAGCGUGUCUGUGCCUGCGUUUAUCACAAACACUAUAAAGUAUCAGAAUGUGUAUUACGAUGUAACGCAUCUAUAUACAACUUUCAGCAACGGAUCUCUUGGCUCUC